This is a non-coding RNA of Pelodiscus sinensis (Chinese soft-shelled turtle), 560 nucleotides long. Lineage: Eukaryota; Metazoa; Chordata; Testudines; Trionychidae. The record is from the annotation of a RefSeq genome assembly.
UGUGUCAUCGCUGCUUUGAUCCCCCUAUUAACACCCGGUCUUUAUUCCCCAGGUGCCCGAUCCCAGGUGCAGUUGGUGGAGUCCGGAGGGGAUGUGAAGAAGCCCGGAGACUCUCUGCGCCUCUCCUGCAAAGCGUCCGGCUUCACCUUCAGCAGCUACUGGAUGCUCUGGGUCCGGCAGGCUCCCGGCAAGGGGCCGGAGUGGGUCGCUGCUAUCGAGUACGAUGGGGAUAGGAUAUUCUACCUUGAUGCCGUGAAAGGCCGAUUCACCAUCUCCAGGGACAACCCCAACAACCUGCUGUCCCUGCAAAUGACCGGCCUGAAGCCCGAGGACACCGCCCGCUAUUACUGUGCGGGAGGCACAGUGAGGAAAAGCCGGUCUGAGCCCAGACACAAACCUCCCCCUGCAGUGAGCAGCGAAGCCGUUUGGCGCUGGGGGCGCCCAAGCUCCAUGCAGGAAAUGAAACCGAGUUCAGAGAGAGGCUGGGAACAGCAAACCCCUUUCACUGUCGCUCUCAGCCCUCCGCCUUGAGGGGCGGCAGCUCCCGGGACAGGGCUGCA